GGCGCAAGGGUGCGUAACACGUGGGUAAUCUGCCGUGGAGUUUGGGAUAACUUGCUGAAAGGCGAGCUAAUACCGGAUGUGACCGCUGAGAGACAUCUCCCGGCGGUUAAAGUUGGGGACCGUAAGGCCUGACGCUUCAUGAUGAACCCGCGGCCUAUCAGCUAGUUGGUGAGGUAACGGCCCACCAAGGCUAAGACGGGUAGCUGGUCUGAGAGGACGACCAGCCACACUGGAACUGAGACACGGUCCAGACACCUACGGGUGGCAGCAGUCGAGAAUUUUUCACAAUGGGCGCAAGCCUGAUGGAGCGACGCCGCGUGGGGGAUGAAUGGCUUCGGCCCGUAAACCCCUGUCAUUCGCGAUCAACCGUUGUUAUUUAAAAGAUGACAGCCUGAUAGUAGCGGAAGAGGAAGGGACGGCUAACUCUGUGCCAGCAGCCGCGG
Molecule: ribosomal RNA, 443 nt
Filed under: uncultured bacterium
Lineage: Bacteria
Description: bacterial SSU rRNA
Rfam family: Bacterial small subunit ribosomal RNA
Source: RNAcentral